UAUUGAUUGAUUUAUUUUUUGGUACCAGGGAUUGAACUCGGGUCCUUGUGCUUGCAAGGCAAGCCACCGAACCGCUGAGCUGAAUCCGCGGCCCUUCAAAGGUAUUAUUUUAAAAUGCUGCUAAAUGAUAUGAUCAAAGUCAUAUUGGAAAAUGACAAAUCAUUCAUCAAGAACCACAACCCUAAGUUACAGAGGUGAUCAAAUGCAUCUGAAAGGCCUUUUCUCUCACAGUUGCUACGGUACAUACUGCUUCUGCGGAAGAAGAAACGAUGAGAGAGAUAACUCCCCUUUGAUCAUACCACUGUCUCAUCACAUCGUCUUCCCCUGACUUUGUGCAGUCUCCUUCUAACUGGAUUCCCUGUAUCUUUCCCAAUCAAUAUGCCAUCUAAUUCAAGGGAUGUUGGCCUAAAACGUAAGUACCUUUUAUUUUUCUUCCAUUUCCCCUUGCUCCCUGACUCUUUCUCGAAAAUUUAGCCCAAAACCAUAGAUUUGUGCUAACCCGCCUAGAGAUUAGUGUGGGGGACUGAAUAUAAUGACCCA
This 540-nucleotide long non-coding RNA is filed under the name Fukomys damarensis (Damara mole-rat). RNAcentral's name for it is "lncRNA (ENSFDAG00000022590.1)". Lineage: Eukaryota; Metazoa; Chordata; Mammalia; Rodentia; Bathyergidae. The record is from RNAcentral.